UGUAAGGAGUGAUGGGGCCCAACCAUCACCAGAGUAGCAAUGGAGGGCAGUCUGUGCCAGCAGCCGCGGUAAUUCCAGCUCCAAUAGCGUAUAUUAAACUUGUUGCAGUUAAAAAGCUCGUAGUUGAAUUUUAGCGUGUUCGAGUUUGCCAUUCGUUUGGCUUUUUCGAGUUCGCUUUUGGGUUUUCCCUUUUUACUUUGAGAAAAUUAGAGUGUUUCAAGCAGACUUUUGUCUUGAAUACUUCAGCAUGGAAUAAUAGAAUAGGACUUUGGUGCUAUUUUGUUGGUUUUUGAACC
RNAcentral lists this ribosomal RNA (296 nucleotides) under Babesia vogeli. Its description in RNAcentral is "partial 18S ribosomal RNA". It matches the Rfam family "Eukaryotic small subunit ribosomal RNA", at positions 506 to 857 of the family's 1831-position model. The record is from RNAcentral. Lineage: Eukaryota; Apicomplexa; Aconoidasida; Piroplasmida; Babesiidae.